GAAAUUGAAGGUCCAAGCUGAAAAAUAUAGCUGUGUUCCUGUUCCUGCAGAAUCAGAAAAAACUAAAAAGUUGCGAAGAAUUCGCCGAAAAAGGGCAUCAACUUUUGGAGAAUUUAGUAUAUCACCUCAAGCUGUGCUGGAUUCAAUUAGUGUGAAAUGUGAAAGGAGGACUAAUCCAAUUUGGUUCUCAUUAGUGGCCUCUGAAGACCAGGACGGAAGUGCACCUUUG
RNAcentral lists this unclassified non-coding RNA (229 nucleotides) under Hevea brasiliensis (rubber tree). The record is from RNAcentral. Lineage: Eukaryota; Viridiplantae; Streptophyta; Magnoliopsida; Malpighiales; Euphorbiaceae.